Molecule: long non-coding RNA, 465 nt
Filed under: Setaria viridis
Lineage: Eukaryota; Viridiplantae; Streptophyta; Magnoliopsida; Poales; Poaceae
Description: long non-coding RNA (SVIR_LNC004441)
Source: RNAcentral
AACCUUAAGCGAAAUAAAUCAGGAAAAGGGUAACCAAACUAUGGAAUGCAAUCUUUCUUGGUAGUGGCGAAGAGUUAAAUCUUGACAUGAUCCUUAUUGAUCAGCGGGUAUGAUAGUUGUUCACUAUGGUUGAAUUCCAAAAUAGGAGCCUCCCACACUCCCAUAGACUCAAUUUUCUAGAUAACGGCUACAUUGGAAUGCAAAUUAUACCAAGUAGAAGACAUGAAACAUAGUGAUUUGCUUCUUAUUGUCAUCGAUCUUUCAAAUUACAAAAAUUUAAUUAAUUGCACUUAGCAAUUUCAAACAAUACGCAAUACAAUCUUAAAGUCGUAUCGAUCUCUCUCCCCAUUCAUGAUAACCAAAUGUUCAUUAAUAUAUUUAUGUAGUAUUUAAAUUUUGCACAGUCUACACUACAAAAAUGUGUGAUCCUUCUUAGGAUGCGGUAAAUAUUAGGAAAUUAACAAG